AAUAACAAUGGAUGUUCCUAGUAACGGCGAGUGAAAAGAACAUAGCCCAACUUGAAAAUCUCCCUUUGGAGAAUUGUAGUCUAGAGAAGCGCCCUCUGCGGCGGCCUGAGCCCAAGUCCACUGGAAAGUGGCGUCAGAGAGGGUGAGAACCCCGUCGGCUCUCGGCUUAGCUGCUCCACGAGGUGCUUUCCACGAGUCGGGUUGUUUGGGAAUGCAGCCCAAAAUGGGAGGUAAAUCCCUUCUAAGGCUAAAUACUGGCGAGAGACCGAUAGCGAACAAGUACCGUGAGGGAAAGAUGAAAAGAACUUUGAAAAGAGAGUUAAAAAGUGCUUGAAAUUGUUGAGAGGGAAGCGAUUGGAGGGUGUGGGUGCGCGCAGGCUUAUGCGUCUCUAACGAGCCGCUGUAUGUGCUGCGCGCUGGUCAGCAUGGGUUAGCCGGGCGGGAUAAAAGCGGGGGUUGAUACCCUGUCUAUGCCGUCUGGCUGACCAAGGCGUGAAGGUCGCUUAGCCCCUCGGGAGCUGCGUCCUCAAGAUGCUGGCAGAAGCCCUUCAAUCGGCCCGUCUUGAAACACGGACCAAGGAGUCUAACAUGUAUGCGAGUUGGUGGGUGGAAAACCCAUGAAGCGCAAGUAACCUGACUGGUGGGAUGGCCUGUGCCUGCACCAUCGACCGACCAUGAUCUUCUGUGAAAGGUUUGAGUGCGAGCAUACCUGUUGGGACCCGAAAGAUGGUGAACUAUGCCUGAGCAGGGUGAAGCCAGAGGAAACUCUGGUGGAGGCUCGUAGAUGUGCUGACGUGCAAAUCGCUUUUCGGACUUGGGUAUAGGGGCGAAAGACUAAUCGAACCAUCUAGUAGCUGGUUCCCUCCGAAGUUUCCCCCAGGAUAGCAGGAGCUUAAAUGAGUACCGUCAGGUAAAGCGAAUGAUUAGAGGUUCGGGGGAUGAAACAUCCUUCACCUAUUCUCAAACUUUAAAUAGGCGGGACGCGUCGGAUGCUUAAUUGAUCCGCCGCAACCUAUCAGAGCUCCAAGUGGGCCAUUUUUGGUAAGCAGAACUGGCGAUGCGGGAUGAACCGAUAGUCGAGUUAAGGUGCCCAACUACGCGCUAACCUAGAUCCCACAAAGGGUGUUGAUUGAUAUAGACAGCAGGACGGUGGUCAUGGAAGUCGAAACCCGCUAAGGAGUGUGUAACAACUCACCUGCCGAAUCAAUU
Molecule: ribosomal RNA, 1209 nt
Filed under: Chlorosarcinopsis bastropiensis
Lineage: Eukaryota; Viridiplantae; Chlorophyta; Chlorophyceae; Chlorosarcinales; Chlorosarcinaceae
Description: partial large subunit ribosomal RNA
Rfam family: Eukaryotic large subunit ribosomal RNA
Source: RNAcentral